CCUACGGGAGGCAGCAGUGGGGAAUUUUGGACAAUGGGCGAAAGCCUGAUCCAGCCAUGCCGCGUGCAGGAUGAAGGCCUUCGGGUUGUAAACUGCUUUUGUACGGAACGAAAAGGUCUUUUCUAAUAAAGAAGGCUCAUGACGGUACCGUAAGAAUAAGCACCGGCUAACUACGUGC
This 178-nucleotide ribosomal RNA is filed under the name uncultured bacterium. Its description in RNAcentral is "partial 16S ribosomal RNA". It matches the Rfam family "Bacterial small subunit ribosomal RNA", at positions 338 to 508 of the family's 1533-position model. The record is from RNAcentral.